Long non-coding RNA from Solanum stenotomum, 449 nucleotides. RefSeq lists it as uncharacterized. The transcript is spliced from 3 exons. Lineage: Eukaryota; Viridiplantae; Streptophyta; Magnoliopsida; Solanales; Solanaceae. The record is from RefSeq and is a predicted model, not a curated record.
AUAUGGCACCUAGGGGGGAUGGACGUUGUAGAUAUUCUGGAAAAAGGACAGCAGAUCCAGUGGCAUCUCCUCUAAUGUCGAGUUUCGCACGUGAUCAAGCACCAUCAUUGCCUGAACUGCCAACACCAGUUACGCCAGAUUCAGUUGCAGUCAACAUAUCGGGACCAUCUUCAUCUGUGGGGAUCGAAAUACCAAGGAAUGACAUUGUAUCCACAACUUCGUCAAAUACAACUGAUGGUACCCGCAUCCCAAUUGAAAUCGUCAUGGGACGUUUGGAGCCAAGUAACAAUGUAUCUCGGGCGAUCACAAAAAUCUUUAAGGAAAAAUUGGAUCCUGAAGGACAUGAUUGAAAGUCAGUUACACCAUAGAUUAAGGACUUCUACUGGGAGGAGUUUAAGAAGCGAUUCCAUUGGAAUAUUACAACUGAAGGUUCCAUAAGGAUCAUUUUA